This is a long non-coding RNA of Sinocyclocheilus rhinocerous, 598 nucleotides long. RefSeq lists it as uncharacterized. The record is from RefSeq and is a predicted model, not a curated record. Lineage: Eukaryota; Metazoa; Chordata; Actinopteri; Cypriniformes; Cyprinidae. The transcript has 2 exons.
CCGCUGGGCUGAGCGCUGCUCGCCUGCCAGUCAUCGUGGGGGCGAGUCUCUUGCUUUCCAGGAUACUGUAAGUUCAGAGGAAGCAGCAUCAGCUCUGUCAAAUCCUCCUGAUGAAGAGUUUGAGGGAAUCGGGGAUUACGAGGAGUCUUUCCUGGCUGAAUGGUGGCAGGAACCCAAAACUAAAGGAGAUACAGGAGAGCCAGCUGAAUAAGCACAAACCAAAUCAUAUACUAUUAUUUAUACUGGUACCCUGAGGGAGUCUUCAUCUGGUGUCUUCCUCAUCCCCGUUGACUCUUUCCCCGUUUUUCGUUAGAGAUGAAUUGUACUGUAUCCAGUCUAACUUUACUUUUAACUAGAACAUUUGGAGCUUUUGUAUAAUUUUGAUGCAAGAAGUUUUAUAAUAACAGUCUCUCAUCCAGAUUUUUUUUAGUUUAGAUGAGCUCAUUGAAACUGGAGACACAUCACCAAUCUAAACUCUGCUUAACAAAAUCAGGUCUGUGUUGGGAAUAGUAUUUUUACAUUAAACCUGUUUUUUAUGUCUUUUGUUCCCUCCCAUGUAUUUCAUGAUGUGUUAUCUAUUAAAAAAUAUUUUUGUUGA